This 496-nucleotide ribosomal RNA is filed under the name uncultured bacterium. RNAcentral's name for it is "partial 16S ribosomal RNA". It matches the Rfam family "Bacterial small subunit ribosomal RNA", at positions 29 to 507 of the family's 1533-position model. The record is from RNAcentral.
AUGAACGCUGGCGGCGUGCCUAAUACAUGCAAGUCGAGCGAACAGACGAGGAGCUUGCUCCUCUGACGUUAGCGGCGGACGGGUGAGUAACACGUGGAUAACCUACCUAUAAGACUGGGAUAACUUCGGGAAACCGGAGCUAAUACCGGAUAAUAUAUUGAACCGCAUGGUUCAAUAGUGAAAGACGGUUUUGCUGUCACUUAUAGAUGGAUCCGCGCCGCAUUAGCUAGUUGGUAAGGUAACGGCUUACCAAGGCAACGAUGCGUAGCCGACCUGAGAGGGUGAUCGGCCACACUGGAACUGAGACACGGUCCAGACUCCUACGGGAGGCAGCAGUAGGGAAUCUUCCGCAAAGGGCGAAAGCCUGACGGAGCAACGCCGCGUGAGUGAUGAAGGUCUUCGGAUCGUAAAACUCUGUUAUUAGGGAAGAACAAAUGUGUAAGUAACUAUGCACGUCUUGACGGUACCUAAUCAGAAAGCCGCGGCUAACUACGUG